Molecule: ribosomal RNA, 505 nt
Filed under: uncultured bacterium
Lineage: Bacteria
Description: bacterial SSU rRNA
Rfam family: Bacterial small subunit ribosomal RNA
Source: RNAcentral
CGACACGAGUUUGAUCAUGGCUCAGAUUGAACGCUGGCGUAGGCCUAACACAUGCAAGUCGAACGCGAAAGUCCUUCGGGAUGAGUAGAGUGGCGGACGGGUGAGUAGCGCGUAGGAAUCUAUCCUGUAGUGGGGGAUAACGUUUCGAAAGGAACGCUAAUACCGCAUACGCCCCAGGGGGAAANCGGGGGAUCUUCGGGACCUCGUGCUAUAGGAGGAGCCUGCGUCGGAUUAGCUAGUUGGUGAGGUAAAGGCUCACCAAGGCGACGAUCCGUAGCUGGUCUGAGAGGAUGAUCAGCCACACCGGAACUGAGACACGGUCCGGACUCCUACGGGAGGCAGCAGUGGGGAAUAUUGCGCAAUGGGCGAAAGCCUGACGCAGCCAUACCGCGUGUGUGAAGAAGGCCUUCGGGUUGUAAAGCACUUUCAGUGGGGAGGAAAAGCUGGUGGCUAAUAUCCAUCGGCCGUGACGCUACCCACAGAAGAAGCACCGGCUAAUUCCGUG